GAGCUUCAUUCUUUGAGGAUGAUGGUAGGGGAGAGUCCAUUUUAGUGGGGUGGUGGGUUGAUCUUGGCAGCACCAAUUUCCUGUGCUGGAUGUUAUGGGAGAAGCUACUCUGUGGCUCUCUGGUUUCCCUGGCUGUUGGAUUUUCUUCCAGCAUCUGCAGGAAGUUCCCCCUCAUGACAACCUCCAGGAGGAGGCCCAGCAUUUAUUGGGUCAGCUCUGCCUAAGGCUCACUGGAACCCGACCUCACACAUUUGUGGUUGUUGUUGUCUACCAUGAAGACAUCUGCAGGUGCUGGCCCAGUGCUAGAAGGGUGUGAGACUGGGGAAUAAAGAUCCAGAAUUCUACAUUGUUCUGCAAAGAAUCUGAUGAAGGGACUACUGCCAUACUCAACACUCCCCGCACUGCCAGAAUGACCGAGAUUUGGGAAACGACCUCUAGUGAACCAUCGUCUGUUUUGACACCACCUGCUCUUGACCUGGGUGAGAGGACCCUCCUGGUGUUUCCUCUACUGAGUGCUCUGGCUCAAUGGGGCUGUGUUUUGCCCUCCCAUUGGCUGCACUGGCCAGCUGCCUGCUUCCUGCGGACUGUUGUGUAAUAU
Non-coding RNA from Marmota flaviventris (yellow-bellied marmot), 598 nucleotides. Lineage: Eukaryota; Metazoa; Chordata; Mammalia; Rodentia; Sciuridae. The record is from RefSeq and is a predicted model, not a curated record.